GGGUGCAAACGUUGUUCGGAAUUACUGGGCGUAAAGCGCGUGUAGGCUGCUCCGCAAGUCGGGUGUGAAAGCCCUGGGCUCAACCUAGGAAGUGCACUCGAAACUGCAGAGCUGGAGUCCUGGAGAGGAAGGCGGAAUUCUCGGUGUAGAGGUGAAAUUCGUAGAUAUCGAGAGGAACACCAGAGGUGAAGACGGGUUGCUGGGCCGACACUGACGCUGACAGCGCGAAAGCCAGGGGAGCAAACGGG
RNAcentral lists this ribosomal RNA (248 nucleotides) under uncultured bacterium. RNAcentral's name for it is "partial 16S ribosomal RNA". It matches the Rfam family "Bacterial small subunit ribosomal RNA", at positions 530 to 776 of the family's 1533-position model. The record is from RNAcentral.